RNAcentral lists this ribosomal RNA (253 nucleotides) under uncultured bacterium. Its description in RNAcentral is "partial 16S ribosomal RNA". It matches the Rfam family "Bacterial small subunit ribosomal RNA", at positions 524 to 776 of the family's 1533-position model. The record is from RNAcentral.
UACGAAGGGGACUAGCGUUGUUCGGAAUCACUGGGCGUAAAGCGCACGUAGGCGGAUGUGUCAGUCAGGGGUGAAAUCCCGGGGCUCAACCUCGGAACUGCCUUUGAUACAGCACGUCUCGAGUCCGGAAGAGGUGGGUGGAAUUCCUAGUGUAGAGGUGAAAUUCGUAGAUAUUGGGAGGAACACCAGUGGCGAAGGCGGCUCACUGGACCGGUACUGACGCUGAAGCGCGAAAGCGUGGGGAGCAAACGGG